GGAACCCGAAAGGGUCAUCCGUUAAAAUUGGAACGAUACAGAGAAGAUUAGCAGGGCCCCUGUCGCGAG
Molecule: small nuclear RNA, 69 nt
Filed under: Tetrahymena thermophila
Lineage: Eukaryota; Ciliophora; Oligohymenophorea; Hymenostomatida; Tetrahymenidae
Source: RNAcentral